RNAcentral lists this long non-coding RNA (4667 nucleotides) under Homo sapiens (human). RNAcentral describes it as "HSALNT0224036". The record is from RNAcentral. Lineage: Eukaryota; Metazoa; Chordata; Mammalia; Primates; Hominidae.
UAUAUUUCUUGUAAGGUAGGAAAACAGAAACAAAACAAUAGAAAAGUGAUUGGCUAACAUCAAGUUACUUCAGGUUACUUUUUGUUUAAGAGUUAAAGGCAGAGGGAACUUCAUUACCACGCCAAUUGAAACUGGCCUGUUUGGGAAAUUUGCCUAUCUCUCCCUCCAGAUUUCUCAAGUUGGAUAACUCAGUUUUGGUUUGGUGAUGUGGAGCCUCAGCAUAAGUGACUCCAUUUUGACUUUUAGUUUGGUCUGUUGGGCCCUUGUGUGUGCACUUAGUUUGUAACAAUUUCCUUCUAUAAUUUUUAUUCAACACUCUUAUAAGUUCCCUGAAGGUAGGGACCAUGGCUUAGUGGUCAACAUUAUAUGCCAGGUAUUCAGCAUAUAACCAGUACUUAAUGAGUAUUUGUGAUUCAAUGAGUGAGUGCCUGAUCACUCAGAGAGAUUACGUUUCUUGGACACUUACCAUGUGCUGUCAAUCUUCUAAAUAGUUUGAUAAAUCAUCUCAGCUGAAACAGCAACUCUAUGAGGUCUAUAUUAUUAUUAUCUCCAUUUUACAGAUCAACAAAUUAAGAGGUUAAGUUUUUCUAAAAGAAAGUGUGUUUCAAACAAGACAUACCAAAUCAAAGGGCUCCAUUAGAAACAGUGCACUCAACCGGGCACAGGCUCAUGUCUGUAAGCACUUUGAGAGGCCAAGGCAGGUGGAGCUCUUGAGCAUAGAAGUUCGAGCCCAGGCUGAGCAACACAGAGAAACCCCGUCUCUACCAAAAAAAAAAAAAAAAAAAAAAAAAAAAGGACUACCAAAAUUAGCUGAGUUUGUUGACACAUGCCUGUAGUUCCAGCUACUAGGGAGGCUGAGGUGGGAGGAUUGCUUGAGCCUGGGAGGUCAAGGCUGUGGUGAAUCAAUAAUGGUUCCACCUGGGCCAGUGUAAGACCCUGUCUGGAAAAAAAAAAGCAUAUAUAUAUAAAAUAAAAAAAGAAACAGCGUACUCUAUUCUCUCCCAUGGUUAUCAAGAUUCUGCCAAAAUUACUGGUGCAUUUGGCUGACUUUCUUCCUUAUUCCAGUCUUCUGCUUAUUUGCCACUCAGGUGAUCAGCAAAAGCUCAGAAAGAGUGGUACUGAUGGAGAGGAUAAAUGCUUACCCAAACUCACAUAAGUUGGCAUAUCUGCAGGGAAACAUCACGUUAGCCUUUGAGGAGAGAGGCUAUGCAGGGAUCCAAACAAGAAAAUGUGUAACAAUUUCAGAAGUGGCAAAAAGCAACAACGAGAUGGAAAAAGAUGUGAAGGAUGUGACAGUGAAUGUGGGUCACCCCCAAGGCUCUUUGUGGCAAGACAACGCUGGAGCUUCUCCUUUGCAUGAAACUGAUUGAUGCUGCAAGGUCCUGAAGGAAGACAGAUGUUUUUUGUUUUGUUUUGUUUUAGUGCAGUUCUCCAGUAAAAAGAAAACCCAGGCGGUGAAUAAAUUCAGUCUUCUCCUUUGGGAGAAGUUCACUUCUACUGGGGCCAGAAUCUGCUUUUACAUACCCUGAACUAGAGGAUCAGAGUAUCCUCAAAAGGCUUUCUUGGUACUUCAACUCUGAUAUCCACCCAUCCUUAGAACUACGGCUGCUGCUCCAAAACCUCAUACCUUGCUUUCUCCAACCCCUGAGAGAGAGAUAUUGGCUUGAGUUAGUCUCAAUUUUGUUAGGUAUCCUGGACUAGGUGCUUGGAAUGGCUGAGUGUCCCUCCAAGCAGAUGGAACAGCCCCCAUGCCAUUCUUCCAUAUUAGUUGGAAAUACGUUCAGCUGCCUGAAUUAGAAAAUCCCAUGACAGAGGCAUUAGGGAACAACACUUUGGUUUUCUCCAAAAGAUCAGGGAGGUAGGCAAUUACUAUGAUUAUUUUAGUAGCUCUACCAAAUUAGGUCAAAAGUUUCUUCCAUUUUUGUGGCCUUCCUCUCCUGGUCACAGCGAGGUUACUGACACUCAAGCCAUCAUAUCUGUGUCCCGUGCAAGAUGGGAAGACUAUAAAAGGGGAAAGGGCUCUUGGAGGCCAUUCUAUUUUCUAUAAUCAGGAAAGCAAAUAUUUUCAUAGCUCAUCUCUUCACACCCACUUCCCAGCAGACUUCCAUGGGCAGCAAGUCUUCCCACAGAAGCAAGGGAAGCUGGAAAAUUAGGGACCACACUUAUCAGAAGUGUCUCUGCACAAUCAUGCCUUGGAAUGGAUAUGUUGCUGCACCCCAAAAAAGUAGUGUGUCUCAAAACAAGGAACAAUAAGAGACUAAAUACUUGAUGGGCAACCAACUGUAUUGGCCAUUUCUUCUAUUUAAUUUAAUACAUCAGACCUUACUCUGCUUCCCUUAGCUGUAUGGUCUCACCUCUUGCAAUUCUACUUUGAGGUCCCUGCAUGCUUUACGUCCAGGCUGUAGAAGGAUUGAGCCUGCUGAGGCUGUGCAACAGGGUAGUACAUAGCAUGUAAUAUUUUACAGGUUGAAAGAAACUUUUGUUUUAACUUUUAUUUUAGUUUUGGAGGUACAUGUGAAAGUUUGCCACAUAGGUAAACUCAUGUCAUGGGGGUUUGUUGUACAGAUUAUUUCAUCACCCAGGUAUUAAGCCCAGUAUCCAAUAGUUAUCUUUUCUGCUCCUCUCCCUCCUUCCAUCCUCCAUCCUCAAGUAGAACUCAGUGUCUAUUGUUUUCUUCUUUGUGUGCAUAAGUUCUCAUCAUUUAGCUCCCACUUAUAAGUGAGAACAUGUGAUAUUUGGUUUUCUGUUCCUAUUUUAAUUUGCUGAGGAUAAUGGCCUCUAGCUCCAUCCAUGUUCCUGCAAAGGACAUUAUUUCAUUCCUUUUCAUGGCUGCAUAGUAUUCCAUGGAGUAUAUGUAUUACACUUAUCCAGUCUACGACUGAUGAGCAUUUAGAUUGAUUCCAUGUCUUUGCUAUUGUGACUAGUGCUGCAAUGAACAUUUGUGUGCUUAUGUCUUUAUAGUAAAAUGAUUUAUAUUCCUCUGGAUAUAUGCGCAGUAAUGAGAUUGCUGGGUUUAAUGGUAGUUCUGCUUUUAGCUCUUUGAGGAAUCACCAUACUGCUUUCCACAAUUGUUGAACUAAUUUACACUCCCACUAACAGUGAAUAAGUGUUCCCGUUACUCCACAACCUCACUAGCAUCUGUUACUUUCAGACUUUUUCAUAAUAGCAUUCUUAGAGGUGUGAGAUGAUAUCUCAUUGUGGUUUCCAUUUGCAUUUCUCUAAUGAUCAGUGAUAUUGAGCUUUUCUUCAUAUGCUUGUUGGCUGCAUGUAUGUCUUCUUUUGAAAGGUGGCUGUUCAUGUCCUUUGCCCACUUUUUAAUGGGGUUGUAUGUUUCCUUUCAUAAAUUUAUAUAAGUUCCUUAAGGAUGCUGGAUAUGAGACCUUUGUCAGAUGCAUAGUUGGAAAAUAUUUUCUCCCAUUUUGUAGGUUGUCUGUUUACCGUGUUAAUACUUUCUUUUUCUGUGCAGAAGCUCUUAAGUUGAAUUAUAUCCCACUUGUCAAUUUUUGCUUUUACUGCGAUUGCUUUUGGUGUCUUUGUUAUGAAAUCUUUGUCUGUUCCUAUGUCUAGCAUGGUAUUGCCUAGGUUGUCUUCCAGGAUUUUUUACAGUUUUGGGUUUUACAAUUAAGUCUUUAAUUCAUCUUGUGUUGAUUUUUGUUUAUGGUAUAAGGAAGAGGUCCAGCUUCAAUCUUCUACAUAUGGCUAGCCAGUUAUCCAAGCACCAUUUAUUGACUAGGGAGGCUUUUCCCCAUUACUUGUUUUUGUCAGAGAAGAAAUAUUUUAAUAGUCCUGAUAACAUUCCCGUAUCUUGAAUGUCCUGCUAACAUUCCCCUAUCUACAAAGCAUAGCACCUGGGGUGGUGUUGAGUCUGGAUUCCUUGGAAGUGUCAAUAUACACCAGAUAAUGGCCAGUUUUCCACAAGAAUAUAGAUGACUAGCACUUCCUGUCACAAUACCUGGCACAGUGAGUAAUUUACUUUUGUUUUUUUUCUUGUUUAUCUGUUGUUCUCUCUCUCUUUCUCUCUCUGUCACACACACACACACACACACACACACAUACAUACACACUGCUGUUUACAAUUUGGCAAUGCAUUUGUUGUCCAUUCAAAAGCACUCAUUGACAAAGAUGGGCUCUCUCGAGUGUGGCUGAGAUGGUGUGCACUUAGUGGCACUGCAGAACCCCAGGGCCUGGGCACCAGGGCUGCACCUGCCGAGCAGCCCGCCUGUGAGACCCAUCCUCGGCCGCUCUGCUGCUCAGUGGCGGCCUCUGCCUUGCCUGCUGGAGCAGGGCUCUUCAGCCGAGGACAGGACAAGUCUCUCCUUUAUUCAAGUCUUUCACUGAGCUCCCAGAGCUGCAGUUGCGAAUCUUUUGUUUUUAUUUGUAAACUAAGUGAAUUUGACCUGGAAAUCACCAAAGGGGAAUACAUUUGGAACAUUGAAAUGCCAUUUUUACAGGCACAUUUCUAAUCAUAGCUGCCCUUUAAAACCCACAUACAAUUGUCACCUUGAGUUCCCCUGUUUUCCAGCCUCAGUGCGGCUCUCUUUGCAAAUCCCACAGCAUGACAACAACAAGAUUUCAUUUUUAGUCAGACUUGACACUGGCUAAACACUAACGUGGGCUCUUUAUGUUUCCAUAAACUCUCUUAUCACAGAGCCACCAGUAGAGCAUGG